GGGAACCCGGGGAACUGAAACAUCUAAGUACCCGGAGGAAGAGAAAGAAACAUCGAUUCCGUAAGUAGCGGCGAGCGAACGCGGAAGAGCCCAAACCGUGAUGCGUGCAUCGCGGGGUUCGGACUGCAGAAGGGAUUCAGUAAUGACAGGAGAACGGCUUUGGAACAGCCGGCCAGAGAGGGUGAGAGCCCCGUAUCCAAAGUCAGAGCUGACCUGGCAGGAUCCAGAGUACCACGGGACACGGGAAACCCUGUGGGAACGAGCGGAGACCACUCCGUAAGGCUAAAUACUACUCAGUGACCGAUAGCGUAUAGUACUGUGAAGGAAAGGUGAAAAGAACCCCGGGAGGGGAGUGAAAGAGAACCUGAAACCCUGUGUCUACAAGCUGUGGAAGUGCUUUAUAUGCACGACCGCGUACUUUUUGUAGAACGGUCCGGCGAGUUACGCUUACUGGCAAGGUUAAGCACUUCAGGUGCGGAGCCGUAGGGAAACCAAGUCUUAAGAGGGCGUUUUAGUCAGUACGUGCAGGCCCGAAACCGGGUGACCUAUCCAUGUCCAGGUUGAAGCCGCCGUAAAAGGCGAUGGAGGACCGAACCCACAUCCGUUGAAAAGGGUGGGGAUGAGGUGUGGAUAGCGGAGAAAUUCCAAUCGAACCCGGAGAUAGCUGGUUCUCCUCGAAAUAGCUUUAGGGCUAGCCUCAUACAAGUCUUGCGGAGGUAGAGCACUGAAUUUCCUAGGGGGCGUCAAAGCUUACCGAAGAAUAUCAAACUCCGAAUGCCGUGUAGAUGUUGUAUGGGAGUCAGACUGUACGAGAUAAGUUGGACAGUCAAAAGGGAAAGAGCCCAGACCACCAGCUAAGGUCCCAAAGUGUGUGUUAAGUGGAAAAGGAUGUGGGGAUUCAAAGACAACUAGGAUGUUGGCUCAGAAGCAGCCAUUCAUUCAAAGAGUGCGUAACAGCUCACUAGUCGAGAGUUCCUGCGCCGAAAAUGUCCGGGGCUGAAACACGACACCGAAGCCGUGGACUCGCAAUGCGAGUGGUAGAGGAGCAUUCUUAAAACCGACGAAGCUGUACCGGAAGGAGCAGUGGAGGGAUAAGAAGAGAGAAUGCCGGAAUGAGUAGCGAGAGAGAGGUGGGAAUCCUCUCGGCCGAAUAUCCAAGGUUUCCAGAGUAAAGCUGAUCUGCUCUGGGUAAGUCGGGGCCUAAGGAGAGGCAGAGAUGCGUAUCCGAUGGACAGCAGGUAAAAGAUUCCUGCACCCCUUGUUAUCAGAACUGCGGGGACACGGGAAGGGAAGCAGAGCCGGGAAUGGAAAGCCCGGUGCAAGCGAAGUAGUCGCAGGAUUGGAAAAUCCGUCCUGCAUGAGACAAAGGCGUGAUGCGGAGCGAAACAAAGUAGCGAAGCUGCGGCCCCUUCCUGUCGAGAAAAGCCGCUAUCGUGUAGCAAGGGCCCGUACCGUAAACCGACACAGGUGGAUGAGGAGAGGAUCCUAAGGCCGGCGGGAGAAGUGUUGUUAAGGAACUCGGCAAAAUGACUCCGUAACUUCGGGAGAAGGAGUGCUGCGAAAGCAGCCGCAGAGAAAUGGCCCAAGCAACUGUUUAGCAAAAACACAGGUCUAUGCGAAACCGAAAGGUGAGGUAUAUGGGCUGACGCCUGCCCGGUGCUGGAAGGUUAAGGGGAGAGCUUAGCGCAAGCGAAGGUUUGAACUUAAGCCCCAGUAAACGGCGGCCGUAACUAUAACGGUCCUAAGGUAGCGAAAUUCCUUGUCGGGUAAGUUCCGACCCGCACGAA
This 1787-nucleotide ribosomal RNA is filed under the name human gut metagenome. Its description in RNAcentral is "bacterial LSU rRNA". It matches the Rfam family "Bacterial large subunit ribosomal RNA", at positions 179 to 1996 of the family's 2925-position model. The record is from RNAcentral.